GACGAACGCUGGCGGCGUGCUUAACACAUGCAAGUCGAACGGAAAGGCCAUGCCUUUGACGGGUGCUCGAGUGGCGAACGGGUGAGUAACACGUGAGUGACCUGCCCUGGACUUUGGGAUAACUUCAGGAAACUGGGGCUAAUACCGGAUAGGAGCUCGGGCUGGAUGGCGGGGGGUGAAGAGUUUUCGCGGUUGGGUAUGGACGCGGCGCUUAUGAGUUUGUUGGGGGGGUUGGGGUUUCACAGGGUCUUCACGGGUCCGCGGCCUGAGAGGGUGAGGGGCCACAUUGGGAGUGAGACACGGCCCAGACUCCUACGGGGGGCAGCAGUGGGAAAUAGUGCACAAUGGGCGAAAGCGAGAUACAGCAACGGCGCGUGCGGGAUGACGGCCUUCGUGUUGUACACCGCUUUCGCCUGUGACGGAGCGUGUGUGACGGUAAUGGGUAAAGAAGCACCGGCUAACUACGUG
This 468-nucleotide ribosomal RNA is filed under the name uncultured bacterium. Its description in RNAcentral is "partial 16S ribosomal RNA". It matches the Rfam family "Bacterial small subunit ribosomal RNA", at positions 28 to 507 of the family's 1533-position model. The record is from RNAcentral.